Molecule: ribosomal RNA, 418 nt
Filed under: uncultured bacterium
Lineage: Bacteria
Description: bacterial SSU rRNA
Rfam family: Bacterial small subunit ribosomal RNA
Source: RNAcentral
UGGGAAUUUUGGACAAUGGGCGCAAGCCUGAUCCAGCCAUGCCGCGUGCAGGAUGAAGGCCUUCGGGUUGUAAACUGCUUUUGUACGGAACGAAAAGGUGCCUUCUAAUAAAGGGCGCUCAUGACGGUACCGUAAGAAUAAGCACCGGCUAACUACGUGCCAGCAGCCGCGGUAAUACGUAGGGUGCGAGCGUUAAUCGGAAUUACUGGGCGUAAAGCGUGCGUAGGUGGUUGUUUAAGUCUGAUGUGAAAGCCCUGGGCUCAACCUGGGAAUGGCAUUGGAAACUGGGCAGCUAGAGUGCGGUAGAGGGUAGUGGAAUUCCCGGUGUAGCAGUGAAAUGCGUAGAGAUCGGGAGGAACAUCUGUGGCGAAGGCGACUGCCUGGACCAGCACUGACACUGAGGCACGAAAGCGUGGGG